RNAcentral lists this ribosomal RNA (425 nucleotides) under uncultured bacterium. Its description in RNAcentral is "partial 16S ribosomal RNA". It matches the Rfam family "Bacterial small subunit ribosomal RNA", at positions 354 to 796 of the family's 1533-position model. The record is from RNAcentral.
GUGGGGAAUCUUAGACAAUGGGGGAAACCCUGAUCUAGCCAUGCCGCGUGAGCGAUGAAGGCCUUAGGGUUGUAAAGCUCUUUCAGCUGGGAAGAUAAUGACGGUACCAGCAGAAGAAGCCCCGGCUAACUCCGUGCCAGCAGCCGCGGUAAUACGGAGGGGGCUAGCGUUGUUCGGAAUUACUGGGCGUAAAGCGCGCGUAGGCGGACCAGAAAGUUGGAGGUGAAAUCCCAGGGCUCAACCUUGGAACUGCCUUCAAAACUCCUGGUCUGGAGUUCGAGAGAGGUGAGUGGAAUUCCGAGUGUAGAGGUGAAAUUCGUAGAUAUUCGGAGGAACACCAGUGGCGAAGGCGGCUCACUGGCUCGAUACUGACGCUGAGGUGCGAAAGCGUGGGGAGCAAACAGGAUUAGAUACCCCUGUAGUCC